Lates calcarifer (barramundi perch) is the source of this 2182-nucleotide RNA transcript. It is a transcript of the gene named heterogeneous nuclear ribonucleoprotein A1b, with no coding region annotated. The record is from RefSeq and is a predicted model, not a curated record. The transcript has 12 exons. Lineage: Eukaryota; Metazoa; Chordata; Actinopteri; Centropomidae.
CAAUCACAGCGUGAAAGCGGUGAAUCGCUUACUAUUUAUUGUACCGUUGAGAAACAGGCUGGGCUCGUCUGACGCAGAUCACCCCUUGUCCGAGCAGUUUACGAGGAGUCUUCAAGAAUUUGGCUGUAAGAUGUCGAAAGAUGUCCCACGUGAGCCGGAGCAGCUCCGCAAGCUGUUCAUUGGAGGUCUAAGCUUUGAGACCACAGAUGAGAGCCUGCGGGCUCAUUUUGAGCAAUGGGGGGCUCUUACAGAUUGUGUGGUCAUGAGGGACCCCAACAGCAAGAGGUCCAGGGGCUUUGGCUUUGUUACAUACUCAUCAGUACAGGAAGUUGAUGCUGCCAUGUCUGCUCGCCCCCACAAGGUUGAUGGAAGAGUGGUAGAGCCUAAACGAGCUGUUUCCAGAGAGGACUCAAACCGACCAGGUGCCCAUGUAACAGUCAAAAAGAUCUUUGUUGGAGGCAUCAAGGAAGAUACAGAGGAGUCGCACCUGCGAGAUUACUUCCAACAGUUUGGCAAAAUCGAGGUCAUUGAUAUCAUGACCGAUCGUAAUACCGGAAAGAAGAGGGGUUUCGCCUUUGUCACUUUUGAUGACCAUGAUGCAGUCGACCGGAUUGUCAUCCAGAAAUACCACACACUCAACAGUCACAACUGUGAAGUGAGGAAGGCUCUAACAAAACAGGAAAUGCAGAAUGCAGGAAUGGGCAUGAGAGGUCGCAGCAGUGGUGGAAGGCCCUAUGACUAUGACAGAGGCUUCAAUCAAGGUGGCAGGGGUAGAUAUGGAGAUGGUCCUUACAAUUGCAAUGGAGGCGAUGGUGGCUAUGGAGGUGGUCCUAGCGGCCCUGGUGGAUAUAAUAAUGGUGGCAACCGUGGUUAUAACCAAGGUUACAACCAGGGUGGAGGUGGAGGCUACGGAGGAAAUGGUUAUGAUGGCAACGGUUAUGGCAACUGUGGUGGUGGUGGUGGUGGUGGUGGAGGCGGCGGAGGAAACUACAACAACAUGGGCCACUACGAUCCCCAGGCCUCAAACUUUGGCCCAAUGAAGAACAACUUUGGUGGUGGAGGCGGUGGUGGUGGCAGGAGCUUUGGUGGCUAUGGAGGUGGCUCAAACAAUAGUGGAUAUGGCCGUCCAGGACGAUUUUGAAAUGUGAAGCGGACUGAGUACUUAGGAGAGGAGAGCAAGGAGAGGAGAGGAAGCGAAGUGACAGGGCAGCUGCAGGUUUACCUCCUAAAUCUGCUCAGCCAAACAGUUGUGGCAGGUUACAGCUGCUGCAAGAAGAGAUGUACAGUAGAUAAAUCAUGGAGGGUCUUCAUUUAAACGUUUUUUGUUUUUUUUUCCUUCAAACUGUUUCUGGAAAGCAAGCAUUCCAAUGGGGUUUUAUGUAGAUUUUCUUUGAGUCUGGUUUUAUUUGUAACUGCAUCAAAUCAAGCUGAAAUAAACCAUCUUUCAGUUUUUUUUUAAAAAAAAAAAAGUCUUGUUAGCCUCUUCAGUGGUUUGGGAAAGGGAGGGUUGACUGUUAGCGGCACAAAGUGUUGGUGGUGGUUGGGGGGGGUGGUGUGUUUUACGUAUCGUGAGCAGUCUGGAAAAGCCAAUUUCUUUGAGACGUGCAAAGAAGCCCUGCACUAAUCACCACAAACUCCAUGAGUCAAGGCAUUUUAAAUACCAAAACAAUACGGGUUGAGGAAUGAGAAGUGGUGCGCAAAUGCAGUCAUCAUAAAGAGCCCAUCACUUGGUACAGACUCUACCCUGAGUUCUGCAGAGAUCAUCUGGAGGAUGCUAGCUUACAUGCAAAGUCUUUGAGGCUAGCCAUGGAAGCCAGCUGAGGGAGAGAAGUAGCAAAACCAUCGCCAGGAUCAUUGAAGCAGGGGAGAGUGAGAACAGAAGCCUGAGGCUAGCAGGCAGCAGCUACCAAAAGGCUUAAAUGCUGUCUGUAGGAAACUCCACAUGGUCUCCAAAACCUGAUUUCAUUUCAGUGACAAUGGCUCAAUCAGGUACAAAUCAUUUAAACUGUGCACAUCACACUUUUCAGUUUUUCUUCAAAUUUAACCUGUCUCUGUUUUCACAGGUUUACUUGAACAAUCAUGCUGCUGAAGACUUUUUUUUAAAAACAUUUUUAUAACUUAACUGAAAACUGAUGUUCAGUGUUUUUUUUACUUUUUUUUAAUAAAGUAUUUUUACAAAGUA